CCUGUAUUGUGUAGGGGCAUAUAUGUUGAUGACAUGUUAUUGAUGUUACUCAUACUGAUGUUCCUUAAGAUGCAUAUCACUUGUAUGUUAAUACAUUAUUAUUUCAAACUGAUUAUACUUAUGUCUU
Long non-coding RNA from Haliotis rubra (blacklip abalone), 127 nucleotides. RefSeq lists it as uncharacterized. The transcript has 3 exons. The record is from RefSeq and is a predicted model, not a curated record. NCBI's taxonomy places the organism in Eukaryota, Metazoa, Mollusca, Gastropoda, Lepetellida, Haliotidae.